AUUGAACGCUGGCGGCAGGCCUAACACAUGCAAGUCGAACGGUAACAGGAAGCAGCUUGCUGCUUCGCUGACGAGUGGCGGACGGGUGAGGAAUGUCUGGGAAACUGCCUGAUGGAGGGGGAUAACUACUGGAAACGGUAGCUAAUACCGCAUAACGUCGCAAGACCAAAGAGGGGGACCUUAGGGCCUCUUGCCAUCGGCUGUGCCCAGAUGGGAUUAGCUAGUAGGUGGGGUAACGGCUCACCUAGGCGACGAUCCCUAGCUGGUCUGAGAGGAUGACCAGCCACACUGGAACUGAGACACGGCCCAGACUCCUACGGGAGGCAGCAGUGGGGAAUAUUGCACAAUGGGCGCAAGCCUGAUGCAGCCAUGCCGCGUGUAUGAAGAAGGCCUUCGGGUUGUAAAGUACUUUCAGCGGGGAGGAAGGGAGUAAAGUUAAUACCUUUGCUCAUUGACGUUACCCGCAGAAGAAGCACCGGCUAACUCCGUG
RNAcentral lists this ribosomal RNA (490 nucleotides) under uncultured bacterium. RNAcentral's name for it is "partial 16S ribosomal RNA". It matches the Rfam family "Bacterial small subunit ribosomal RNA", at positions 30 to 507 of the family's 1533-position model. The record is from RNAcentral.